GACGAGGGGUCCUAGCGUUGUUCGGAAUUACUGGGCGUAAAGCGCAUGUAGGUGGCUUUGCAAGUCAGGUGUGAAAGCCUCGGGCUCAACCCGAGAAGUGCAUUUGAUACUGCUUAGCUUGAGUAUGGGAGAGGGUAGUAGAAUUCCUGGUGUAGUGGUGAAAUACGUAGAUAUCAGGAGGAAUACCGGUGGCGAAGGCGGCUACCUGGCCCAAUACUGACACUGAGAUGCGAAAGCGUGGGGAUCAAAC
RNAcentral lists this ribosomal RNA (250 nucleotides) under uncultured bacterium. RNAcentral describes it as "partial 16S ribosomal RNA". It matches the Rfam family "Bacterial small subunit ribosomal RNA", at positions 524 to 773 of the family's 1533-position model. The record is from RNAcentral.